GUGAAUCAUCAAAUCUUUGAACGCAAAUUGCACUCUCUUCGGAGAGUAUGCGUGUUUGAGGGUCAGCCUAAAAAAAAAUCGACAUAGUCGCUGGUUCGCGGUGACAUUCGUCGGAAAUUGGGCUAUCUUAAACCUGUGGGUUUUAAGCGGCUGAAAAUUUUCUUUACGAUUGCACGAACGUUUUUAAGUUAUAUUUCUUAUAAGUUUAAGGUAUGGAUUGUUAUUAGAUGUGGC
This 234-nucleotide unclassified non-coding RNA is filed under the name Glomus sp. RNAcentral describes it as "partial contains 5.8S ribosomal RNA and internal transcribed spacer 2". The stretch from base 1 to 65 matches the Rfam family "5.8S ribosomal RNA", at positions 84 to 154 of the family's 154-position model. The record is from RNAcentral. Lineage: Eukaryota; Fungi; Glomeromycota; Glomeromycetes; Glomerales; Glomeraceae.